This 294-nucleotide unclassified non-coding RNA is filed under the name plant metagenome. RNAcentral's name for it is "partial contains small subunit ribosomal RNA, internal transcribed spacer 1, and 5.8S ribosomal RNA". The record is from RNAcentral.
UUUCCGUAGGUGAACCUGCGGAAGGAUCAUUAUCGUACAAAAUGUGUGAGGCAUUGCAAGGGCUGUCGCUGACUUUUAAAUGCAAAAGUCGUGCACGCCAGUGUGUGUCCUCUCGCAUAAAAUCCAUCUCACCCUUUUGUGCACCACCGCGUGGGCACCCUUCGGGAUCCAACCGAUCCAGGAGGGGGGCCUGCGUUUUCACACAAAACCCCCUUUUAAAAAGUGUAGAAUGACCCCAUUUUUUGCAAUAACAUGCAAUCAAUACAACUUUCAACAACGGAUCUCUUGGCUCUC